Long non-coding RNA from Cyprinus carpio (common carp), 1256 nucleotides. RefSeq lists it as uncharacterized. NCBI's taxonomy places the organism in Eukaryota, Metazoa, Chordata, Actinopteri, Cypriniformes, Cyprinidae. The transcript has 3 exons. The record is from RefSeq and is a predicted model, not a curated record.
AGCUAUCCCGAGGGACAAAUUCACAGUUACUCCCCAUACCCGAGUAUGUAGUCGGCGUUUUAACAAGGAGGAUGUUCGUGAGCCCCGUAUCAGAGACGGGGAGGCGGCUAUUAAACAAGGGAGCUGUCCCAGCACUGUUUGACCCUUCCCACUUCACGAGCGGAGGAUGACGGCGACGCAGGCGAGAAAGCUGCUAUUCCUAUGGACCACUACGCUUCGGCUUCAGAUCCUGCAGUUGUUGAUUCAGCCCUUGAUGACAACAUGUCUCUCAGAGAUGAGAUUCUCAAGCUUCAUCGUUUUGCUGCUUCAGACAAGGACAUACGUUUUUUUCACAAGAUUUGCAUCCUAUGACCUGCUGAUGAGAUUUCUGGGCCUUAAUAGAGCCCAUCACUGCCAAAUACGGUCAGUGUGACACAAGCACAGAGAGGCACCUUUACAGAGACAAGUUCCACUGUAACUCGUUUCCUGCAGCCCAUUGAUGAGAUGUUCAUGUUUCUCAAUUACCUGGCACUGGGUUCAAAACAGCGUGAUCUUGCUGACCGGUAUGGGGUCCACCCAGUCCACAGUCAGUCAGAUCAUUACAACGUGGAGCAACUUUCUGUACACUGUGCUAGGGUCUGUGAGGAUCUGGAUACCAGCUGAAUUGAAGGACUAUGCAGACACUACAGUCAUCCUGGACUGCACAGAGCUAAGGUGCCAGUGCCCUUCAUCACCUCUUCUCCAAAGUGAAAUGUUCUCAGCAUACAAGUCCCACUGUACUCUCAAAGGGCUGCUUGGAGUGGCUCCUCAUGGGGCGGUCACAUUGAUUUCUCAACUGUACGCUGGUUCCAUCAGUGACAAACAGAUCACGCGAGAGUCUGGAAUUCUCUCCCUUUUUGAGACCAGUGAUGGCCAUCAUGGUUGACUGAGGUUUUCUGGUUGAUGACCUUGUACCUUGCAAGAUUUAUAGGCCAGCAUUUCUCUCUGGAAGAUCGCAGAUGUCUGCCUGUGAGGUCAGGGAGACCCAAGUGAUUGCACGCCUCAGGGUGCAUGUUGAGCGCCUCAUACGGCGUGUUAAGAAGCACAAGUUCUUUGACACAGAGAUUCCACUUCGGCUUUUUGGCAACAUUAAUCAGCUGUAUACUGUUGCAUGUCUCCUGACGAAGUAUGAAAACGGGCCUCUUGUAAAGGCUUGGGCAAAGGAGCCAGAGUAGCAGUAGUAGAAAAAAAAUAAAAAUUAAUAACCUAUGACCAUUUGUAUAACUACUUUCUUUAAA